RNAcentral lists this ribosomal RNA (734 nucleotides) under uncultured Cellulosimicrobium sp. Its description in RNAcentral is "bacterial SSU rRNA". It matches the Rfam family "Bacterial small subunit ribosomal RNA", at positions 28 to 776 of the family's 1533-position model. The record is from RNAcentral. Lineage: Bacteria; Bacillati; Actinomycetota; Actinomycetes; Micrococcales; Promicromonosporaceae.
GACGAACGCUGGCGGCGUGCUUAACACAUGCAAGUCGAACGAUGAUGCCCAGCUCGCUGGGCGGAUUAGUGGCGAACGGGUGAGUAACACGUGAGUAACCUGCCCUUGACUUCGGGAUAACUCCGGGAAACCGGGGCUAAUACCGGAUAUGAGCCGUCCUCGCAUGGGGGUGGUUGGAAAGUUUUUCGGUCAAGGAUGGGCUCGCGGCCUAUCAGCUUGUUGGUGGGGUGAUGGCCUACCAAGGCGACGACGGGUAGCCGGCCUGAGAGGGCGACCGGCCACACUGGGACUGAGACACGGCCCAGACUCCUACGGGAGGCAGCAGUGGGGAAUAUUGCACAAUGGGCGAAAGCCUGAUGCAGCGACGCCGCGUGAGGGAUGAAGGCCUUCGGGUUGUAAACCUCUUUCAGCAGGGAAGAAGCGCAAGUGACGGUACCUGCAGAAGAAGCGCCGGCUAACUACGUGCCAGCAGCCGCGGUAAUACGUAGGGCGCAAGCGUUGUCCGGAAUUAUUGGGCGUAAAGAGCUCGUAGGCGGUUUGUCGCGUCUGGUGUGAAAACUCGAGGCUCAACCUCGAGCUUGCAUCGGGUACGGGCAGACUAGAGUGCGGUAGGGGAGACUGGAAUUCCUGGUGUAGCGGUGGAAUGCGCAGAUAUCAGGAGGAACACCGACGGCGAAGGCAGGUCUCUGGGCCGCAACUGACGCUGAGGAGCGAAAGCAUGGGGAGCGAACAGG